CAUUACCGAGUUUACAACUCCCAAACCCCUGUGAACAUACCUUAAUGUUGCCUCGGCGGAUCAGCCCGCGCCCCGUAAAACGGGACGGCCCGCCAGAGGACCCAAACUCUAAUGUUUCUUAUUGUAACUUCUGAGUAAAACAAACAAAUAAAUCAAAACUUUCAACAACGGAUCUCUUGGUUCUGGCAUCGAUGAAGAACGCAGCAAAAUGCGAUAAGUAAUGUGAAUUGCAGAAUUCAGUGAAUCAUCGAAUCUUUGAACGCACAUUGCGCCCGCUGGUAUUCCGGCGGGCAUGCCUGUUCGAGCGUCAUUUCAACCCUCAAGCCCCCGGGUUUGGUGUUGGGGAUCGGCUCUGCCUUCUGGCGGUGCCGCCCCCGAAAUACAUUGGCGGUCUCGCUGCAGCCUCCAUUGCGUAGUAGCUAACACCUCGCAACUGGAACGCGGCGCGGCCAUGCCGUAAAACCCCAACUUCUGAAUGUUGAC
Molecule: ribosomal RNA, 483 nt
Filed under: Fusarium avenaceum
Lineage: Eukaryota; Fungi; Ascomycota; Sordariomycetes; Hypocreales; Nectriaceae
Description: eukaryotic LSU rRNA
Rfam family: 5.8S ribosomal RNA (bases 157-310)
Source: RNAcentral